UACGUAGGGGGCUAGCGUUGUCCGGAUUUAUUGGGCGUAAAGAGCGUGUAGGCGGCCAGGUAGGUCUGGUGUGAAAACUCGAGGCUUAACCUCGAGAUGUCAUCGGAAACCAUCUGGCUAGAGUCCGGAAGAGGAGAGUGGAAUUCCUGGUGUAGCGGUGAAAUGCGUAGAUAUCAGGAAGAACACCAAUGGCGAAAGCAGCUCUCUGGGACGGUACUGACGCUGAGACGCGAAAGCGUGGGGAGCGAACAGG
This 253-nucleotide ribosomal RNA is filed under the name uncultured bacterium. RNAcentral describes it as "partial 16S ribosomal RNA". It matches the Rfam family "Bacterial small subunit ribosomal RNA", at positions 524 to 776 of the family's 1533-position model. The record is from RNAcentral.